RNAcentral lists this ribosomal RNA (496 nucleotides) under uncultured bacterium. RNAcentral's name for it is "partial 16S ribosomal RNA". It matches the Rfam family "Bacterial small subunit ribosomal RNA", at positions 29 to 507 of the family's 1533-position model. The record is from RNAcentral.
AUGCACGCUGGCGGCGUGCCUAAUACAUGCAAGUCGCGCGAACAGACGAGGAGAUUGCUCCUCUGACGUUAGCGGCGGACGGGUGAGUAACACGUGGAUAACCUACCUAUAAGACUGGGAUAACUUCGGGAAACCGGAGCUAAUACCGGAUAAUAUAUUGAACCGCAUGGUUCAAUAGUGAAAGACGGUUUUGCUGUCACUUAUAGAUGGAUCCGCGCCGCAUUAGCUAGUUGGUAAGGUAACGGCUUACCAAGGCAACGAUGCGUAGCCGACCUGAGAGGGUGAUCGGCCACACUGGAACUGAGACACGGUCCAGACUCCUACGGGAGGCAGCAGUAGGGAAUCUUCCGCAAUGGGCGAAAGCUUGACGGAGCAACGCCGCGUGAGUGAUGAAGGUCUUCGGAUCGUAAAACUCUGUUAUUAGGGAAGAACAAAUGUGUAAGUAACUAUGCACGUCUUGACGGUACCUAAUCAGAAAGCCACGGCUAACUACGUG